GCUGGGAGCAAACCAACAACAACUGCCUUGGCAACAACAACACACUGUAUGGACACAAGAGACUUCCAACUGAGACGUCCCACUGCAUGCACUUCCAAACUCUGCCCAUGUAGUGUUAAGUGCCAGAUUCGGAUGAAAUCAUCAGAGCAAAAUGUGUCUCCAAGACAAUGUCCAUUGCAGUGAACAACGAGCGGUACAAUGUAGGAGACUAUCUGGUUAUUGACACUCAUUCAGAAGAGAUUCAUGUGUUCAUGGAAGUGUGUGGAAUAUACAGAUUCCUUGGUGCUGGUGUGGUAAAGUACUGCUACCAGCCAGUUUCAACAACCAUCACCACGCAGACAUGGUUCAACACAGUCAACAAUGGUUUCUAUAAGUCCUGUUGAGGAGAUGGAUUUCCAUGGGUUAGAUGGAUACAGGGACCCAGAGGGAAGAGUGUCCAUUCCAUUCUGCCACUGGUUUGCGGGUAUUUUUCCCCACAGAACACCAAAUUGAUGGAGAGACAUUGAUGUCAUUGGACCAAAGAAUAGUGGAGCAAAUUGUUUCCCAGCAAACAGCCCAGCAAAUGACCCAGCAGCAUCUGUCCAGCACAAUGACCCAGCAUCUGUCCAGCAAAAUGACCCGCCAUCUGUCCAGCACAAUGACCCAGCAGCAUCUGUCCAGCAAAAUGACUCAGCAUCUGUCCAGCAAAAUGACUCACCAUCUGUCCAGCACAAUGACCCAGCAGCAUCUGUCCAGCAAAAUGACCCAGUGUAACAGUAUAACUUUAGACCGUCCCCUCGCCCAUACCCAGGCGCGAACCAGGGACCCUCUGCACACAUCAACAACAGUCACCCACGAAGCAUCGUUACCCAUCGCUCCACAAAAGCCGCAGCCCUUGCAGAGCAAGGGGAACUACUACUUCAAGGUCUCAGAGCAAGUGACGUCACCGAUUGAAACACUAUUUAGCACGAACACCGCUAACUAGCUAGCCAUUUCACAUCUGUUACAUCAGCAUCUGUCCAGCAAAAUGACCCAGGAUCUGCCCAGCAAAAUCACCCAUUAAUUAGCCUUCAGCAUGAUAUAUCAACUGGCCAGCAACAGGAAACAUAAUUCAGCCCGAAUCUGGCCAUCUGGGCUUUUAGACUUCCAGAAUUUCCAGACGUAUUAAAAGAAAAACCUGAAAGAAAAUGUGACGAUCUCCGUUGCCCUGCGGUUCUCUCGAAGUGGAGGUCUCAGAUUGGGCAGGUGUUGUUUGCCUUCAUGUGUACCUAUACUUGGAGUCAUGGAACGGCAUGAUAAAGAAUAAAUACAAGUACAGGAAAUGCAGAAGAAGUUUAGGGGGCAAGGGAAAAAAUAAACCCAGAUGACAUCAAAAAUGAAGACCUGACCAAAAUAGCCAAGAUUGAGAUUGGUGAGAAUUCCUUCAGUCAAGAGUUACAUGUUGAACAGAUGCAGGUGGAAUGCCAAGAAAAGAGACCGAACAUCAGUUCCCUACAAGACAAAACGAAAAGGACUGAAAAAUAACGUUUUUAUGAAACAAGGCACCAAGGACAUCUUAAAACUGUACCCAGCACUCCAUUUGUCAGCCAUUGUCUGAAGGUCACUGCAGCCAUUUUGCUCCUCCCCUACCUGUUCAAAGAAGAUCCAAGUGGGUACGUCACAGGUGAGGGGAAUACCUUUACGGAUGAGAGCCACAUUCAACUCUUCCUGGAUGGAGAGGAGCUACUCAUUAAAGAGCUGGAGGACAUCUCCAUGGAUUGGGAGUGGCAAUGGGGGUCCAUUUCCUUUUUAAUAUUGAGUAUGCAGCAUCAUUAAAAAGCACUACGCUGUUCAUUCAGAUGUGUUCUGGGAAUUGAUGAGGGAGAUAAAUUACCAACAAAUGUAGGAAUGGCUAACUUUUUGCUGUAGAGAUGGAUAAGGGAGACCAGAGAUUUCUGGGACGUCUGCAAGUGAGAUUUCUGGGACGUUUAAAGUCAAUAAAAUGAAUUUGUGACUUUACAAGUUCACCACUCAAUGUUAUUUGUAUUAUUAUUGUUCAUAGUAUUAUUAUUGUUAUUGUUCAUAAUGGAAUACAUGGGUCAUAAAAGUUUCCUACAGGAACCUUAACGCCCUAAAAGGUUAUUUGAGGAACCUUUUUAAAAGAUUCCUCAGGGAAAAGGUUCCUGAAAGCAAAGAGAGUUCCAAACCUCUCUGACAAUGGGCGAAUUCGAUUAUAGACCGGACACCGGUCUGUGGCCUGUACAUGUUAUCAACAAGGCAGCAUGUUGCAUCAUCCAGAAACGCACAUCUCCUUUCUACAAAAUACAUGUUCGAUUUGUUUUUUUUGGGGGGGGGUUGCGCCACGGGAUUUUCUUUCAGGAGUAGAGGUUUCUCCUCCGUGUGUUGCGAUUAUUCCCUGUGUGUGGCGACUUCGUUUGGGCGUGUUCUUCCACCUGUUGUUGUUGAGUUGGGACUUCUAAUAAACGAUUGUGCUACUGGGGCUUCCUUGCUCUCCUGCUCAUGAGUCC
Molecule: long non-coding RNA, 2486 nt
Organism: Oncorhynchus tshawytscha (Chinook salmon)
Lineage: Eukaryota; Metazoa; Chordata; Actinopteri; Salmoniformes; Salmonidae
Source: Ensembl